Long non-coding RNA from Cygnus olor (mute swan), 500 nucleotides. RefSeq lists it as uncharacterized. The record is from RefSeq and is a predicted model, not a curated record. NCBI's taxonomy places the organism in Eukaryota, Metazoa, Chordata, Aves, Anseriformes, Anatidae. The transcript is spliced from 3 exons.
UCGGGCACGGGAGGCGAUGGCAGCGCCGCCCAGGCACCUGGGGCCGGCCGGGGAGCGCGGGCGGGAGCCUCCCUCGCCGUGCUGCACAAUGCAGGAGGACGGGGAGUAACCUCCAGCGAACGCCGGCCGGGACCGUCCUCGCCCCCGUUCCUGGCCGCUCGCAGGCUGCAGCGGGGAGGUAGAGCUCCUGCCGAUGAACUGCAUCCCAGGUGUAGCCUCUGCAGGUUUGAUAGGCACGCACCCAGACACGUCUCAGCUGACUGGUUUGCUGAGUAAUACCGGAGUGCUACAAAUAACAAGCAGCCUGCGCAGGAGAGCUAUUGCGGAAAAUUCAUCUCCUGUCUCUUACAAGAGGAGAAUGUAUUUCCUGUCGGCUCCAGGCUUGAAGGGAAAGCGAGAAGUGCCGGGAGGAAGUGGCUGUUCCUGGGCCGAGCGGCGGGAGGAUUGAUGAUUUUCAGGGGGGCAAGCAGGAGGAUUAUUUUCUUCAGAUCCCAUGGAGA